Molecule: long non-coding RNA, 357 nt
Filed under: Androctonus crassicauda
Lineage: Eukaryota; Metazoa; Arthropoda; Arachnida; Scorpiones; Buthidae
Source: RNAcentral
UAAAGGAAUCGCUUAUCCAAUAUUGUUUCACAAGAAACACGUGCUCUUCCACAGAAUAUCGAUACAUCAUCAGAAUCAGGCAACACAGAAGAAGCAAGUCACCUGGAACACCAUGAACAGUAAGCCAUACUACAUUGAAACACAAGACCCACACACAGCUUGCAGAACCUCAUUGUUGCCACAUUUCACAGAUUUACUGUACAAUGCUGCCAUGCUGAUGAGUUAUGUGAGAACAUCUGCUACGAAAUCCAAUACUCUGGUAGCAACAUUCAUGAACAUCCAGUGCCGUAUUGAACUGUGUAUACAGGUGGGGGGAGGUCGCUUCCAUUAUCUCUUGUGGUGUAUCUUUAUUUCCCA